UCGCAGAGUGUUGUUGUCAUCACAGUCGUCACAGGAAAUCGGGCGCACCUGUAACUUGUGAUCUGUCAUACUUUAAGAAUUUAUUUUGGCUCGGAAAAGCAUUUAUUGUACACCUUUCCAAUCUCUUGAUAACUAGUACAACAUGUCUGCAUUGUUCAACUUCCAAAGUCUCCUCAGUGUUUUGCUGCUGAUGAUUUGUACCUGCGCAUAUAUACGAUCCUUUGCACCUUCACUGCUCGACAGACAAAAGACCGGCCUGGUUGGGACCUUUUGGAAAAUGGCAAGAAUUGGUGAGAGGAAAAGCCCAUGGGUGGCUGCAGCUUGUGUAAUGAUGGCCGUGAAUGUCCUUUUCUUAUCAUAGUUAUAGUGCAAUAUUUAUAAGGAUUUAAUUGAAAAAUAGCACAGUCACAAGAAAUGAUGUUUAGGCAAACAAAGCUUGGAGUCUACAAACAUCAGCUGAUUUCAGAAUGCUUCAAUAUUUCUUAACAAAGAGGAUGCAAGACAUUUUGUGCUUUAAUUUACUAUGGAACUGCUCAACAAACAACUAAUUAAGAGGAGCAUGCUUGUUCCUCAAGAGUGUAGCUGUAUUGCUUGAUGGAAGACCAAACUUUUUGUGAUCCAAAUGUAAAGUUUUAUAUGUUGUCUCAUGAAAAUAAUCAUGACAAAUAUUUUUC
This 674-nucleotide long non-coding RNA is filed under the name Penaeus japonicus. Its description in RNAcentral is "uncharacterized LOC122259260". The record is from RNAcentral. Lineage: Eukaryota; Metazoa; Arthropoda; Malacostraca; Decapoda; Penaeidae.